GACGAACGCUGGCGGCGUGCUUAACACAUGCAAGUCGAACGAUGAACCACUUCGGUGGGGAUUAGUGGCGAACGGGUGAGUAACACGUGGGCAAUCUGCCCUUCACUCUGGGACAAGCCC
Molecule: ribosomal RNA, 120 nt
Filed under: uncultured bacterium
Lineage: Bacteria
Description: partial 16S ribosomal RNA
Rfam family: Bacterial small subunit ribosomal RNA
Source: RNAcentral